CAAUAGCGUAUAUUAAAGUUGUUGCGGUUAAAACGCUCGUAGUUGGAUUUCUGUUGAGGGCAGCCGGUCCGCACUUCGUGCGUGUAUCUGGUUUGACCUCGGCAUCCUCUCAAAAUACGUUUCUGCGCUUGAUUGCGUGGAGCGGAGUUUGAGACUUUUACUUUGAGGAAAUUAGAGUGUUCACGGCAGGCAAUCGCCUUGAAUAUAUUAGCAUGGAAUAAUAAUAUAGGAUCUUGGUUCUAUUUUGUUGGUUUCUAGAGCUAAGAUAAUGAUUAAUAGGGACAAUUGGUGGCAUUCGUAUUAACGCGUCAGAGGUGGAAUUCUUGGAUUGCGUUACGGCGAACUACUGCGAAAGCAUUUGCCAAGGAUGUUUUCAUUGA
This 380-nucleotide ribosomal RNA is filed under the name uncultured eukaryote. Its description in RNAcentral is "partial 18S ribosomal RNA". It matches the Rfam family "Eukaryotic small subunit ribosomal RNA", at positions 592 to 976 of the family's 1831-position model. The record is from RNAcentral.